GAAUGAUGAACAAUAUUGAGGAGAUCGAGGAAUCUCCCAAAAAUUUUCUCAUGACUUUUGGGAAGUCCAAGGUCUUCCAUUAUAUACAUUGGAUCCAAUGACAGUUUGAAUGGCCAAAAAUCUACUUAGAGAAUCUUUUAGUGGCAGUGGUAGAGAUAUUCAACCUUUCCAUGGCCACCUACUUAAUGUAGUUGUUCUUCACCUCUCUCAAGCCUACUCGCUUCUAAUCAUCUCCUUCUGCCAUCUUUGCCUAUUUCCAACAGUGACAAAGAAGGCCAGACAACCAAUUCCGCCACCCUCACCCUACACAUCCAUUAGACAAUCCUGAUCAAGGACCGGUCAAUUAGACCUGGGUGCCUCCAUCCACGCAGAUCAGUUGAUUGUUGCUCUGGGAUUCAUGCCCAUUGCGCAGAUUAAUCACAAUUGGCCCUUUUGUGGGGUACAAGAAUGUGAAUCUACUUCAGUUCACCCUUACCUAAAAAAAUGCAUCUAAACAGAGUAAUUCAUUACAUUUUCUUUAGCUGAUUUGGUAAAAUACUCAUGCAGACCAAUGAAAUUGAAGUAGAUUCGCAGCUUUGUUCAUAUGGAGUCAAAAAGUGACAAACUCAAUGAAGAAGGAUGGCCCAUAAAGUGAAUAUAAAUGAAUGUAUUUUUUUCAGUACCCAAUCCCAUGUUUGCAGAUUUUGAAGGUCGUGGAAUCAGACUUCUUUAAUGAGGAAAUUGUCGUAGACCGUGUUUUAGUACUUGCCACAACCUUGUUCUGCUCAUCAGUGAGAUUGGAUGAUUUUGCUUCCACGAACAUAAGUGGACUAAGGGAUUUCAACUAGAAAAGAAUAAUGGAUAAACAUGCCAGAAAACUUUUUGGAGAGCAACCUCUGCAAUUCCUUCAAUGUUGAAGCGCCGGUAAUCAUCGCUAUCUUCAGAACCAGAAAGUAAACUUGUUUGGGAGCUCCGACUGCCU
Long non-coding RNA from Dendrobium catenatum, 961 nucleotides. RefSeq lists it as uncharacterized. The transcript is spliced from 4 exons. The record is from RefSeq and is a predicted model, not a curated record. NCBI's taxonomy places the organism in Eukaryota, Viridiplantae, Streptophyta, Magnoliopsida, Asparagales, Orchidaceae.